UGAAUAUAGUUUAUAAAAAUUCUAGUCUGUGAAUCUAGAGAUGAAAGCUAAAAACU
RNAcentral lists this transfer RNA (56 nucleotides) under Cyclorana cryptotis (hidden-ear frog). RNAcentral's name for it is "Ranoidea cryptotis tRNA-His". Lineage: Eukaryota; Metazoa; Chordata; Amphibia; Anura; Pelodryadidae. The record is from RNAcentral.